Molecule: long non-coding RNA, 379 nt
Organism: Hordeum vulgare subsp. vulgare (domesticated barley)
Lineage: Eukaryota; Viridiplantae; Streptophyta; Magnoliopsida; Poales; Poaceae
Exons: 3
Source: RefSeq, a predicted model, not a curated record
GUGGCAUCUCAUUGUCAUGGUCUUCAUCUUAGUGUUAUAUUCGGUAGUUUGUCGAUUUGGAUCCUUGUUAUGCCCUGAUUUGUGCUUAAUCUUUAUUUAUUCCUUCUCUGUUUUCUUCACCGGCAAUCGGCUCCUCAGUGCAAGAUCGAUUUGGAUCCCUCUCCUAGGACGCAUUGGGGAUAAGGUUUCAGGUAGACGAUUGAGGAUCAAAAAGUUGCAUAAGAGCAUACACAGAUACGCACAACUAUGUUUUACACGACGUACAAUGGUCUUGUGGUACCUGAUGUUCCUCUGGAAGAGACAGAUAUUUUGAGAAGCGAGGCUGCCAAGAACAACCUUGAGCUGGUGUUACUAACAACACCAACUACACCAACAGAAA